RNAcentral lists this ribosomal RNA (2346 nucleotides) under Triticum aestivum (bread wheat). RNAcentral describes it as "partial small subunit ribosomal RNA". Lineage: Eukaryota; Viridiplantae; Streptophyta; Magnoliopsida; Poales; Poaceae. The record is from RNAcentral.
AUGGCACCUCACCUCCCAUGGCUCUUGCUCCAGUUCUUGCUACUACUUCUGGGGGUAUCAUCUGCUGCUCAAGCACAAGUGAACAUCACCUUGGGCUCCUCCUUGAAGCCCCAGGGGCCAAACAGCUCAUGGCUCUCGCCCUCCGGCGACUUCGCGUUCGGUUUCCGGCCACUGGAAGUUAACCCCUCCUCAUACCUCCUCGCCGUCUGGUUCGACAAGAUCCCUGAGAAGACAGUCGCUUGGUAUGCCAAGAGCAGCUCCGACGGUCAAGAGUCACCGGUGCAAGUGCCAUCCAGCUCCGUGCUGCAACUCACCACUGACGGGUUGCUCUCGCUUCGCAACCCAUCCGGCGAUGAAGUCUGGAGUCCUCGGGCCCCUGGUGUGGCCUACGCCAAAAUGCUCGACACGGGUGACUUCAUGCUUGUCGGCGCAGAUGGCACGGCAAAGUGGGAGACCUUUGGUGUCCCGGCUGAUACCAUCCUGCCCAUACAAGUGCUCCGUGUGGGUCCAGAGGACAAGCUACUCAGAAGCCGUCUCAUCAACACAGACUACUCCAACGGCCGGUUUCUCCUAGCUGUGCAAACUGAUGGCAGGAUAUACUUCACCUUGAAAAAUGUGACACAGAUCAAUGUUACUUCAGCAGGGGGCAACUCAAUGGGUGAUUUCUUCAAUCGUGCCACGCUUGAUCCAGAUGGUGUGUUUCGGCAGUAUGUGUACCCAAAGAGCAGAAAGGCCAGAAGUCUAUGGAGCUUGCAAUGGAAGGCGGUGAGCUCAAUCCCUGAGGACAUCUGCGAAACAGUAAUGGUAAAUGCAGGCAGUGGUGCAUGCGGCUUCAACAGCUACUGCACCUUUGAUGGCACCAAGAAUCAGACAAGCUGCCUAUGCCCUGAACAUUACAAGUUCUUCGAUGAGGAGAGGGAGUACAAAGGGUGCAGGCCUGACUUUGUGCCACAAAGUUGUGACCUUGAUGAGAUAGCAGCAAUGGCGCAGUUUGAGAUGACUACGAUCGAUCGUGUUGAUUGGCCUAACUGUGACUAUGAGCAAUACCGCCCCAUAGACGAGACAGAGUGCCGGAGGCUGUGUGUGAUUGAUUGCUUCUGUGCCGCAGCGGUCUUUGAUCCAAACACAAAAACCUGCUGGAAGAAAAAGCUCCCUUUAUCAAAUGGAAAUAUGGCACAAACUGUCCAGAGGACGGUUCUGAUCAAGGUGCCUAGGAGCAACAAUUCAGAGUCCCAGCUCAGCAGUGGCUCUAGCAAAUGGAAGAAGGACAAGAAGUAUUGGAUUCUUGGGAGUUCCUUGUUUUUUGGGAGUUCGGUAUUGCUAAACCUUCUCCUUAUCUCUAUUCUGCUCUUUGGCACUUACUGGGGUAUUUCCAUCACCUCAAAAAAGAAACUCCGGUCACCGCAAUCGUCAGGUAGUUCUAUAUUGCCCCCAAAACUUUUCACUUACAGUGAACUGGAGAAGGCAACCAGUGGUUUCCAUGAGGUGCUAGGCAGCGGUGCCUCUGGUACUGUGUACAAAGGAAAGCUGCAAGAUGAGCAUGCGACCAACAUUGCAGUCAAGAAAAUUGAAAAACUCCAGCAAGAGACUGAGAAGGAAUUCAUGGUGGAAGUGCAAACCAUCGGGCAGACGUUUCACAAGAACUUGGUCAGGCUGCUUGGCAUGUGCAACGAGGGAACUCACCGACUGCUAGUUUAUGAGUUCAUGACCAAGGGCUCGCUCAAUGAUUUCCUCUUCGGUGAUGCUCGGCCAGAUUGGAACCUCCGUGUGCAAGUCGCACUUGGAGUGGCACGAGGGCUUCUCUACUUGCAUGAAGAGUGCAGCACGCAGAUUAUCCACUGCGACAUAAAACCACAGAACAUCCUUCUCGAUGACAACUUCAUGGCAAAGAUAGCAGACUUUGGCCUGGCAAAGCUUCUUCGAGCCAAUCAGACACAAACAAACACCGGCAUCCGGGGCACUCGAGGUUACGUUGCCCCAGAGUGGUUCAAGAACAUAGCGAUCACUUCCAAAGUCGAUGUUUACAGCUUUGGUGUGAUCCUGCUGGAGCUUGUGUGCUGCAGGAGGAAUGUGGAGGUAGAGAUCGCCGACGAAGAUCUGGCGAUACUAACUUACUGGGCAAACGACUGUUACAGGUGUGGGAGGAUCAACUUGCUUGUGGAGGGUGACGAUGAAGCAAUCUUCAACAUAAAAAAGGCAGAGCGCUUCGUGGCUGUAGCACUUUGGUGCCUUCAGGAGGAGCCAACGAUGCGGCCAACCAUGCUUAAAGUGACACAAAUGCUUGAUGGAGCAGUCCAAAUCCCCAUACCUCCGGAUCCCUCUUCCUUCAUCAGUUCACUUCCGUAG